GGCAAACUAUGUGCUUGUUCACUUGUUCUUCUUUGGAUCUUACUUACAUCAUGGUCCUAUUUCAAAUUUCUGCAAAUUCCGUUUGCAUGCAUUUGUAAAGUGUAAAGCGGGAUUGACUAUUGUUAGAAUAAUCAAUAUGCUGUUCCAAUUCAUGGGGCAAUCCAUUCAGUUUAGAUUGGUGGAAGUAAGCGAAAGAGAAAAAUCUGAAUUAAGCCUACUUAUAAAAGCUAACGGAGGAGUCGUAUCGGAAAACUCUUUGAUAAAAUUUACUAGCAGAAAUGCUCACAUAGAAGACGGAGAUCUAUAUCUUGUGGAUUUCAUAUACGAUUGUGUAAAGCAGAACAAGAUCUUGGACAUAACAAAAUAUAAGUAUGGAACUAAGGGGAUUGGAUGUCCGAUGAGCCAGUUCUUGACAGGAAGCGCAUCCUGCAUGGCGUUCACCAACAUGGAUGCUACUUUUUGUCCUUUACAUCAAUCCACAUUAUUGGAUAACAGCGUCAGAAUACUAAGACUUGUUGACGAUCAAGUCAGAAUACAAAAUGAGCAUGAUUAUGGUGAUAAUAUUAUGAGAGAGAUACGUCCCUCUUACAUCCAAUAUGAAGAAAUAGUGCUGCCGACGACAGAUACCGAAGGCUCCAUACCAGACUCAAUGUAUUAUCCGGACGAAUCUCAUUCACAAAACAGUUGUCUGCGGGCAGAUAGUAAUGUUGAAAAUCAAGAAACGUUAGGGGGCGAACUGGUUACUGAUGUUCCAUCACCGGCGAGAUUCGAAGAGAAAAGUUACGACGACGCUUCAAAUGAGGUGAAUCCUGAAAAUGGAAGAGAUAUCGAAAAUAUUCAUUCCCAGGAUGAUUCCGACCCGAUCAGGAUACUUGGCCGAACAAAAAUAGAAGAUAUUCUCAGAAGGGAUAAUUUUCGAUUGACUUCUUCCGACAGUGACGAAACAAUUGAGAAUGCCUCAUCAUGGAUUGAAUGCAGGCGAAAAAAAUCGUACAAGCCGAGUAGUAAUGAUGAUACGGCAUGGUCAUCGUCACAAGACGAAAAAGCAACUAAUGUCAAAAGUCGGAAAAAAGAUAUCAGACAACAGCCAAGCUGCUCCAACUGGACAGGAACUAAAAAAUUUGCAUCCAAGAAUAAACCUUCAAUACAAGAAAGACUGACAAGAAAAAUGAUUCUGAUGUGUCAGAGGUGGGUCCCAAUCGUCUUCCAAAUCCUACCAAUAAAGUCCGUCAAAGUAAUAGAAUAUUACAAUCGACAGCAAGACGACGUCGUCCUAUACACAGAAAUUUUGAUAACUGGGAACAGCAAGAGAUGGUAAAUUACCUAAUCAAAAACAGCUGUAUCAGUGAAGCACGUGGAAAUAGAGUAUGGAAGCAGAUGAUCGAAGAAGGGCUGCUGAAGCACAGAACUGUUCACUCCCUCAACAAUCACUUUCGGAGAUACAUCCUGCCAAAUAUUCAUCUAUAUAGAAUGAGUAAAGAUAGUCGAGAAGAGUUCCAACGUCUUAAACAAUAGGUUUCAUCGUAUCAAAUAAAAAGAGCUAUUAUUUUUCUA
Molecule: unclassified non-coding RNA, 1554 nt
Filed under: Neodiprion pinetum (white pine sawfly)
Lineage: Eukaryota; Metazoa; Arthropoda; Insecta; Hymenoptera; Diprionidae
Description: uncharacterized LOC124219169, transcript variant X4
Source: RNAcentral